UCCCAUAUGGUGUAGUGGUUAGCAUACCAGGCUUUCACCCUGGAGCCCCGGGUUCAAUUCCCGGUAUGGGAA
Molecule: transfer RNA, 72 nt
Filed under: Podospora anserina S mat+
Lineage: Eukaryota; Fungi; Ascomycota; Sordariomycetes; Sordariales; Podosporaceae
Description: tRNA-Glu (TTC) (tRNA-Glu-TTC-1-1)
Rfam family: tRNA
About the family: Transfer RNA (tRNA) molecules are approximately 80 nucleotides in length. Their secondary structure includes four short double-helical elements and three loops (D, anti-codon, and T loops). Further hydrogen bonds mediate the characteristic L-shaped molecular structure. tRNAs have two regions of fundamental functional importance: the anti-codon, which is responsible for specific mRNA codon recognition, and the 3' end, to which the tRNAs corresponding amino acid is attached (by aminoacyl-tRNA synthetases). tRNAs cope with the degeneracy of the genetic code in two manners: having more than one tRNA (with a specific anti-codon) for a particular amino acid; and 'wobble' base-pairing, i.e. permitting non-standard base-pairing at the 3rd anti-codon position.
Source: RNAcentral